AACGAACGCUGGCGGCAUGCCUAACACAUGCAAGUCGAACGAGACCUUCGGGUCUAGUGGCGCACGGGUGCGUAACGCGUGGGAACCUGCCCUUAGGUUCGGAAUAACUCCCCGAAAGGUGUGCUAAUACCGGAUAAUGUCUUCGGACCAAAGAUUUAUCGCCUUUGGAUGGGCCCGCGUUGGAUUAGCUAGUUGGUAGGGUAAAAGCCUACCAAGGCGACGAUCCAUAGCUGGUCUGAGAGGAUGAUCAGCCACACUGGGACUGAGACACGGCCCAGACUCGUACGGGAGGCAGCAGUGGGGAAUAUUGGACAAUGGGCGAAAGCCUGAUCCGGCAAUGCCGCGUGAGUGAUGAAGGCCUUAGGGUUGUAAAGCUCUUUUAGCCGGGAUGAUAAUGACAGUACCGGGAGAAUAAGCUCCGGCUAACCACGUG
Molecule: ribosomal RNA, 433 nt
Filed under: uncultured bacterium
Lineage: Bacteria
Description: partial 16S ribosomal RNA
Rfam family: Bacterial small subunit ribosomal RNA
Source: RNAcentral